AUAAAGGAUGGUGGGUUAGAGUCCCUCCAAUUGUUUGGGUUCGAGUCCUAAACUGGGUUAAAGGAACUACGGGUUUCUAGGUUAGAGUCCUAUCAGUAAAUAAGGAAGGUAUUUUCUUGAGUUUUGGAUUUCUAAAUCGAGGGAACUAAACCUUUAGCGAAUCCUAAAGACCUUUAUCGGAAAUAAAGGCCCCUCUUAGAGGAUUAAGCGGCAGAGCGACCAAAAAGCUGAUUUGUUGGAUUCUACGAAGACGUUUGCUGUCGAAAGAGGAAAUCCCACCCAAUUCAGGAAGAAUGGGUCUACAUGGCUCCAGAACACAAUCUCCUCCUCAGGGUGAAUUGUUUGACUAUAUGAUAAUGAAAUAUUGAAAAAAAAAGCAGGAGAAAACGAAUAAAGAAUAAAAAUACUGAACAUAAAUCUUUUGUGGAUAAAUUACAGGCCUUAAUAUGUUUGAAAAAAAAAAGUGUUUGUUCUUUUUGCGUAUUUGCAUAAACAAAUGAUUUCAUUCCCUAAAAGGAUCAAUCAAUUGAGGAACCUUUUCUUACUAAAAGCAGCUCAAAGAACUGUAAAAACAAUUAGCCCUCAGGUGUCAAGAAAUGGUGGCGUUGAGGUGGUGAGGCAGACGCUGUAGACCCAGGAUGCGAUAAAAAAUGAUUUUAAUAAUGAAUGUCCAGCAAACACAGUCCAACCAACGGGCAGCACGGCUGAGCGGAAGCCAGGGCUCAACGCCGGUAGCAACCGUUACACAAAUGGACGAGACGACAGACUGGGUACAAAGAUGACAGACUAGAAGUCAGAAUGAGACGAGGACCCGACAAACACACAGGUGACACUAAAUACACAGGAGGUAAUUAGGGAACGAGAAACACCUGGGAGUAAUCGAGGGGAGAACAGAACAACACAGAGACACAGAAAACUUGAAAUAAACACAGAAAAACACAGAUCAUGACAUCAGGAUUCUCUGACAAAACAUUCCACAAACGGGAGCCAUAAUCUGGAUGGAUAAUAAAUGACUAAAACUAUAUGAACUUGCAAAAGAUUAAAAUAAGAGUCAUAAAUACAUAUGUAUAGAAAAAACAAAGAAAACAACUCCCAGCCUCCCAAUAAAACAAGCCUAAUCAAUUUCUACUUGCUUCUUCUCUUUCCCUCUGUCUGAGCCUCACUGCAGUGCAUCUGACCUCUGACCUCAACUCCUCAAACAUGUCCUCCCAUGGACCAGAUGAAAGUGACCGAGAAGAUCCAGAGAAUCAAGAAGAUCAAGAAAACCUACAUCACCUCCAGGCACUUUAGUGUCUGUUGAUCCUAAUUUUUUUGACACUGGAGAACUGAUGAAACAUUUCCAUUCAGGGGACAACUGUCGGUCUCCUGGUGGACAUUUGGACUGAAUACUGUGUGCGACUGAGCUUUAACAACUUCCGCUGGUCUGCUGUCCUGAUACUGGACAGGUAUCAGGUCCAGUAAGAAAAGCUAAACAAAGCUUCAGAGCUGUGAGAGAAGAAGACUCUGAACUGUUUGAUGCUUGUUUCAUCUGUGGACAACAUGGACAUUGACUGGGGGACAAUCUGGACAACCCAAAGAUCCAAUGCCAGAACCAGUUGGACUGACUGGGAGCCAGAGGAGAGAGAUUUGGAGGAUUUCACUGCAGCGACACCAAGAGGGCAGCGAGAGGAGCGAAAAGAGAUGUUUAAGGUUUCAAAAGGCUGGACAGCUGUGAGAUGAAGAGGACAGCAGAAGUCCAAGAGCAAAUUUACCUCAAAACAAAAGUAAUGUUGAGAGAGGCAACGAAAGAGAGACUUAGGAAGUGUGUGUGAGGCUGUUCAACUCUGACACCAAAGAAGACGACUUUGGUGGUUUUAGUGUGCAGGAGUUAGACGAGGAGCACAAUCAAUUAUUUUUCCUUUUGCUUUAAGCAGCCAUGUUACAGCAAUAGUUAGGAAAAAGCAUUUACGGUAUAUAUUUGUAUGCUACCAGUACGUAUUUCAUUAAAAAUAUCUUUCUGUAUAAAUAUUAUGUUAAGCCAUACUUGUUUGUGGCUUAUGACAUGUAAUAGUCCAGAAAUUACAGUAUUCACUCAAAAAAUCACUCCAUUUGUCAGCUCAUUGCACAUGGAACAUUUCUCCAAAGUUCUUAUAUUC
Xiphophorus hellerii (green swordtail) is the source of this 2135-nucleotide long non-coding RNA. RefSeq lists it as uncharacterized. Lineage: Eukaryota; Metazoa; Chordata; Actinopteri; Cyprinodontiformes; Poeciliidae. The record is from RefSeq and is a predicted model, not a curated record. The transcript has 2 exons.